UCGAAUGUAGCUUAGUUGGUCAGAGCGUCCGCCUGAUAUAUGGAAGACCGGCGGUCUGGCUCCACCCAUUCGAA
RNAcentral lists this transfer RNA (74 nucleotides) under Clostridium sp. AF50-3. RNAcentral's name for it is "tRNA-Ile". It matches the Rfam family "tRNA". From Rfam's summary of the family: Transfer RNA (tRNA) molecules are approximately 80 nucleotides in length. The record is from RNAcentral. Lineage: Bacteria; Bacillati; Bacillota; Clostridia; Eubacteriales; Clostridiaceae.